AAUGGGGCGAGGGACUACCUCGUUGUGCCAAAUCACCUGUUGGGCCUUGGUGACGUGGUGUGCUCCAAAGUUGGGUCGUACUUCAAAGCUUUCUCGAACCAAGACGAACGCUGUCAGCGUCAAAUUGGAAGCUGCCUGGAGCUGCAGCCGUUGGACAUGUGGUCCCAAGACGACGAGCUUCGGUCUCAGGGAAAAAGGAGCGAGUACUUGUUGGAGGGCUUCGCGGACCCCACCGAUGAGCCCAUUCUUGUGAACGAGAAGACCAGGCGGCGCUACCUGACGCUCCGCUACGCGGGCCCUCCUCACCUCAGCGUCGCCUUUCUCGAAAUCAGCGCCGAC
RNA transcript from Rhipicephalus sanguineus (brown dog tick), 339 nucleotides. RefSeq lists it as uncharacterized. The transcript is spliced from 3 exons. The record is from RefSeq and is a predicted model, not a curated record. NCBI's taxonomy places the organism in Eukaryota, Metazoa, Arthropoda, Arachnida, Ixodida, Ixodidae.